AAGUAAACCAACUCUUACACUCAAUCAGCUCCAAAACCACGGCACUCUUUCAUCCACUUCCACUUCACAUUCCAAACCACAACUGCAACUCUUCUGCUUAGUUAUUAUCGACAAAGAGGAGCUGAAGGAGGAAGCCGCGAGUUGCAUUUCCCUUUUGUCUUGUCCGUAAGCUGAGGGAGAAACCAGAGAACCAUCACCACCUUCGAUAACUUCAGACCAACAUCACAACUGCAAUCUUAACCACUCUGCACCUCGCCAACUCCAGCCGCAACUCACUGAACCAGGACCACUACCCUGUCGCGUGCUUGUGAGCCGAGAGGAGGAAAACAUUUUCCAGAUUUUCGUGUGAAAGCUUGACUAGUUGUGAGGUAAAUUCUGGAUCAUUUUAGGAUUAAUCUGAGGUAGUUGGAGUUAUCUAGUAAUAUGUAUGUGAUGAUAGAGCAUUCGGAAGUUGAAUGGAAUCAUUAGAAAAUUCUGUUUUGAAUGAUGAGAUACCAUCCGAAAGCUGAGAUGAUAACGCACUCCAAUUCUGAUUUCCUGUGAUGAUUUGAGCACUUAAGUGGAUUUAGUCAAAUGAAAAUGUGAUGAUUUCUAUUUUGCAUGCUGAUUGUACCUUCGGAUGGCAUAGUGAAGGCCUACAAAAAAAUUUUGUUAGCUAUAAAGCUCCUGCCGUGGAGCUUGAUGCACUUGUUUUAUUUUGGCUGCUGAAUGGGUCUGAAUUUGGACUAUCUGAGCAUGAAUGAUGUUUAUCUAACUGGAUUUUGGAUGAUUAUCCGGAUUAGAGUCUUGCAUGUGUUAAAUUUCGCAAUCAAAUGGUGAAAACAAAGCUGUGGAAAAUUCUGUCUUGGCUGGAAAAUUUGGCCGUGAGCUUGCUUGGGGUAGUGCAGCUUAAAUUGGUUUUGAUUUUUGUAAUUUGGGCUUAUAAUCAUAAUUAUAUAGCUAAUAAUGAGUACUUAGGCCCUGCAUGUAGCUAAUUAGUUGUUAAAACAGAGGAAUAAAAAUUCAAAAGUGCAAUCUGCCUUAAGGCAAGAUCAUCCGGACCAAAUAGGAAAAAAAAAUUUCUGGAAAUUUUGAUGGUUAUGGAUAUUAUUUGAACUUGAUUUCUGAGCUGGAAAUAUUCAUAUGCUAGCUUGAUACGUGCAUAAGGAAUGUAAGAGUUUAUAACCAUGUCCAAACCAGAAAAUGAAAUGAAAAUAGAAAGCUCUUCACGCAUGAUUCAACCGUGACUAUUAGGGAAAUUUUCUUGUGGUUGCCAAAUGUUGAGUUGAAAUCUCAACUUUGAUUUUGGAAUUUUUCUGGGAUUUAUAAUGGUUGAAAUUGUUUGGAAAUCUUGAGAGAAGCCGUGAGGUUUAAACCUGGAAAUUUUGGGGUUUGUAACCAUGGUUUAAAUUCAACUCUUAAACUGGAAAUGUUCAUUAUCUUGCUAUGUGUUUAAAUACUGAAUUUGAGUAACUAACACCAUGAUUAAACCAAGGGAAAAUUCGAACUAAAGUAGAUUGGUUGCUGGAAAUUUUGGGUGAUAGCCGAAGGGGUAUGAACCAGAAUUUCAAUAUCGUUGGAAAAAUUCAAUUUGUUUCUGGAAAUUUAUUUUAUUUCCUUGGAUUAUGGUGGCUCAGAAUUUCAUAAGAGAUACAAAUUUUAAGAUAUACAAUUUGUUCAGCAAUGAACCAAUUAGUACAUGUAAAGCUGAAACCAAAAAUGUGGGUGUACAAACGCUGGAAAUUUUCCUUGUGGUUGCUAAAGUUUGAGUAAGAAUUUCCAGCUCGAUUGUGAAGUUAUUCCUUGGGCCUUAAUGAUUGGAAACACAUGGAAAAUGUUGAUGUUAAUGAUUGUGGUUUGACUCUAUUGCGUUCAUGAAAUUCUCAAAGAGUUAGAUGUAAGAAGGUACUUGCUAAAUGUAUGUUUAAGCCUGGCUAGUGAAACAAUUUCUACUCGUAUUCCAAUGUUCGCAAAGCUAAUGGUCGACAUUAUUUUUCAUUGGAGCAUAAUGUGUCGAAAUUGUUGACAGUGGGCUCUACGAAUUCCCACUUUUGAGUUAAUGGUUGAGUUAUUGGAAAUUGGCUGAUGGUGGGCUCUAUGAACUCCCACCCUGAAUGGAUAACUGAAUUUCUGAAAUUGUUUAGAAAUCUGUGCUACUAUUUUGUGAAACUGUGAGUUGAUAUAAGUACUGAUUACCAAGUGCUAAGUAUUGACGCAGCCUUGGUAAAUUUUCCUGUUUAUGCUUAGAUAUAAAUUUGUUGGAACACAGGGCUAAGAAUUGAAGAGCUCUAGUGUUAUUACCGUUUAAAUUUUAAUGGUGCAAUAUUGAGAAAAUGUGAUUUUGGAUUGGAAUCGAAAAUGUGAGAAGUUGUACCGACCUUGUGACUCCAAGUAAACGCUUGACUAAGUAAAUGAAAAAUAUUUUGCUUUAAGUCUCGAACGGUACAGAUUUAGCAUCGUAUUGCUAAACAUAGUGUCUACUAUUUUUGCCUUAGAAACUUGGGCAACAUGACUUUUAUUCCUUAAGUUAGACUAGUCUUAUCAAUUUGGGAAAAAAAUCCUUCCAGACUCAAAACCUUAGUUUUGUUCCGAAUUCCCUCCUUCUUUAUAAAUCGUUUAAGGCUAGUCGGAACUAAGGAAAAUUUGAAAGGUGAAACUCGAUCACUUUGGUUUUAAACGUAGCAACCUGCUUGGCAAGAAGAAAAGAAAAACCUUAUUCUAGCAACAUUUUUCAAUAGACCUUACCCUAAAGCCUUAGCAAAGAUUUUGCAAGCACCGCCACUCAAAGGAACUUUUUCUCAAGGUAUACUUCUAGCCUUGAUAUUAAAUAUCUUGCCGACUUAUUUUAAGAAAAUAAUAAUAGUAUUUUCUUCGAGGAAAAGUAUUCUAGGAAUAUUAUAAGAAAUAUUGUACGGUUCUCACAAGCUUGAUUCCAAGUAAAAUAUUUUGAGAAAAAGUAAACUAGCAACAUGCUAGAAAACUCUACAUGUGCAAGCCAAAAGUUCCAAUAGAAGACUUAUGGCUUAAAUUCUGAUAUUCUAGGAUUUUACGAGGACGCGGAACUCGAUCCUCAAUCCAAUAUCUGAACUUCACUCUUGGUGAGUGUCCCUGCUUGUUCUAUGUUAUGUGGUUAAGCGCUUUAUCAAUUCGCUAUGUGAUAAUUGUCAAAAUGCAAUAAAUGAUUUUGAUCCAUCGAAGUGAGCAGUGUGUACUUUAUCGCACUAGCCGUUCGAGUGGUGACAUGUGUGAAACAUUUUCUAAUGAAUCUGUGAAUCUAAAUGUAGUUGCGUCGUUGGGUGAAUCCCUCGACAUCUGAAUCCAACUACCAUAACAUCUGAAUCUGUAGUUGCGUCGUUGGGUGAAUCCCUCGACAUCUGAAUCCAACUACCAUAACAUCUGAAUCUGUAGUUGCGUCGUUGGGUGAAUCCCUCGACAUCUGAAUCCAACUACCAUAACAUCUGAAUCUGUAGUUGCGUCGUUGGGUGAAUCCCUCGACAUCUGAAUCCAACUACCAAAACGUCGUUGGGUGAAUCCCUCGACAAAUUUAUUACGGGUAUAUCUCGAGUAUACUGCGUCGGUAGAUGAAGUUUGGGCCCAAAGCAGAGGUAUGAACGGUGACGGGUUAGGAUUAAAAUAAGUGUAUCUACAUGGAAAUUAAGUAGGGAAAGUUGACGGAGGGUCAACUACGAUGGUAUCUGAUCAAGCGUGGAAAAUGGCUCCUGAGAGCCCUUGUAUCCUACCUUGUGUUGUUACACGCUUUCCUGACUGUUUCGAUUUGAUUUAAAUUAUUAACCGCUGUUUGAUUUAUGUGAUUGCAUGUUUUGGGGCACCACUGAGCUUUAGCUCACCCCACGUAUUUGUUUUCCUUAACAGGUUCUGGAGACUGAAAGCGCUGAGACUUAUUCAUGUUUCUUUUCUUCUCGUAUGGGAUGUAACGAAUAUUAUGGCUAUUGUGUAGGCUUGUAUUGUGUUUUAACUUGAAUUCUGU
This 3967-nucleotide long non-coding RNA is filed under the name Coffea arabica (coffee). RNAcentral's name for it is "long non-coding RNA (CARA_LNC002966)". Lineage: Eukaryota; Viridiplantae; Streptophyta; Magnoliopsida; Gentianales; Rubiaceae. The record is from RNAcentral.